Electrophorus electricus (electric eel) is the source of this 1318-nucleotide long non-coding RNA. The record is from Ensembl. Lineage: Eukaryota; Metazoa; Chordata; Actinopteri; Gymnotiformes; Gymnotidae.
GAGAGAGACUUCCAUUCAUGUUUUUGAAAGGUGUAUUCACCGGGAGGUGCGCUAUGAAUAAAAAUGUUCCUCGACCUCCAUAAAUCGUGGAGCUAUAUUAGCGAACUAUGAACUGCACCAUGGAACAGAAUUUCUGCAAAGGUGGCCUAUAAAUCUGUGCGUGACUGCAAAAAGUAAAGCCUUUUUCUGCAGUCUAGAGAAAUGCAGGUAUCUGUAUACAUGCAUGCCCAUACAUGUACAGUAAUGGUGCUAGGGGACUUUUUUGGUGGAGAAAGUAGGCGGACCGACUGAAUUCAGUUACUGAAACUUGAGUGUGCCUACACGUGCUGCUCUGUAUGCAUGUGAAACAACCUACCUUUAAAAUUGUUGAUUCAGAGCCUCAUCUUGGGUUAUUCAUUUAUUUGUUGUUUGGGAAACAAAUGUAACUUUUCCUCAUGCUUCUGUAAAGUAUGUCUUGAGCAGCGAGGUCUCUAUACACGCUGGGGCCUUAAGAUGGAGUCAGCCUCUUUGUACCCCACAAAAUGAUGUUGCACAUUCUGCACUACCCAUUUACUACUCAUAGCUGCAAUUUUCCAUCAUUCAACUUCCAAGAGGAGAAGGACGAAAAUAUGAAUAAAAGUGACACUGAGGACACCUUUUCAGACUCCAGGCUAGCCCCUGAAGCAACCAGCACCAGGCUUCCAGCUGAUCACACGUUGCCUAGGAACAAACCCUCUCACAGCAGAUUGGUUGCUCAUGCCGACUCCUGCAGUAGCAUGAGCAGUGAUGGCCAGUCCAGCUACAGCCCUUACCAGCCUCCCUUGGGUCUCCCAUCAGGUUACAGUCCCAAGACACCCUUUCCCAGCCAGGUGGAGGGUUGUUUCAGUACCCUAGAGCCCCACAAUGAGGACUGGCUCCAGUCGCGCUCAUACAACAGCUCAGUGGGGGGAUACUCCAGUGGCAGCCAUCUGUCCUGCCUGGUGUCAGGAGAUUACUGCACUUACCGGAGUGAAACCUGCUGCUCUCCCUCUUUGUCAGAGAAUCACAGUCCAGGUGUGAGCAGUUUGGAGCAACCCCACUCUCUGCACUCUAUCCCUACAACUUUAGCCCAGCAUGGCUUCUACCUGGCCCCGUGCUCAUGCUCCUCACAUGGGCCACCAUGCAGUAGGCCAGACCAACAACAUGCUUACUGGGAUAAUCCACAUGCCCUAUCAUACCACAUGCCAUGGUCUUCAUGUCCCAAGAACAGUAAGCAGUCAGAUCAAGAAUUUAUUCAUAGGCACUCUUUUCACCCUCAGCCAAGGAGCACAAGCAUAACACCACUCUCCUUAGAGCAGCG